UGAGCUGUCAAAAUAUUUUGAAGUAAUAAUUUGGCAUCUAUUAAGAUCCUAUCUUCAAAAAUCUUCUUUUCAGUGAACGCAGAGCAAGGAAGACAAGGCAAACCAAUGUGAAAACAUUCACUUUAUACCAUUUUAUUUCAGCUUCCAGGCUAAGGGCUGUGAUACACUGGCACGUGCCGCAAAAGUCAAAACUCAGUUCUUUGGAAGGAAACAGAUCAUCGUUUAAGACACAGAACCUGAUGGAUGAUUCUGGACGUUAAUGCUGUGGAGUCACAAGAAAGGUGAAAACCCUUCACAACUCAUGAUCAAGGUUGUUCCCCUUGGAAGCUGUGUGACUGACAUUGUCUGUGACACGCAGGAGGAAGUGGUAGUGUCCCUCUUGGGCAAACAUUUUAAGCCAUGCCUCCUUCUGCCUGCUACUAGAAGGAAGUGCCACGAUGGAAUCUGUGAGCCUGGGUCCCAAUAUAAAGAGGUCCCAGCUGGCCUGAGAUGACAAUGCAGCCUUCAUGAGAAGGAACUGUUUCUUAUUUUCAGCCACUGAGAUUUUGGUCUUGUUUGCUACUGCAGUGAGGAGGGCAUGGCAACCCACUCCAGUACUCUUGCCUGGAGAAUCCAAUGGGCAGAGCAGCCUGGUGGGCUGCAGUCCAUAGGGUCGCACAGAGUCAGACAUGACUGAAGUGAUUUAGCUUCAGCACUGUUACUGCAGCAUGACUUCACCCACCCUGUAGCGAGGGUCAUUUGCUAACAGCCGAAACUUCAAAUGUUGAAUCUGUGAAAUGCAAAGCAAUUUAUAUUCAGAUCAUUGUUGUAACCAUUUCUUUUCCAUCUACAAAGCUUGCAGCCUUUCAUCAAGAGGAAUUUUUGCAUUUGCCUUCUUGGAAUAAAUUCCACACACAGAUAUAUUUGCAUUUUCUCCUCUGAUUUGCCUUCAGAAAGGACCCAGGAAUCCACCACGGUGAUAGUUAAUUUUACAUAUCAAACCAACUGGGUCAUGGGCUGCCCUUAUAUUUGAUUAAAUAUUAUUUCUGGGUGUGUUCUUGAGGGAGUGUCCAGAUGAGAUUUGCAUUUAAGUGGGUGAGGCGAGUAAGGCAGAUUGCUUCCCUAACAUGGAUGGGCAUCUUCUAAUCCACUGAGGACCUGAAUAGAGCAAAGAGGCGGAGGAAGGAAGGCUCUGCUCUUUAUGCCUGCUUGCCUGAGUGGAGAUGUGCAUCUUCUCCUCUCCCCCCUGGACGAGGGCUUAACCAUUGACUCCCCUGGUUCUUGGGCUUUCAGACGCAGACUAGAACUAUGUCUCUGGUUUUCCUGGGUCUCCAGCUUGCAGAUGGCAAAUCAGGGCA
Molecule: long non-coding RNA, 1337 nt
Filed under: Ovis aries (sheep)
Lineage: Eukaryota; Metazoa; Chordata; Mammalia; Artiodactyla; Bovidae
Description: lncRNA (ENSOARG00000026255.1)
Source: RNAcentral